UCUAAUAUGGCAGAAUAGUGCAUUGAAUUUAAGCUUCAAAUAUAAAUUAAUAUUUUUUUAGAA
Molecule: transfer RNA, 63 nt
Filed under: Lachesilla sp. LaspMLY
Lineage: Eukaryota; Metazoa; Arthropoda; Insecta; Psocodea; Lachesillidae
Description: tRNA-Leu
Source: RNAcentral